AGCAGCCGCGGUAAUUCCAGCUCCAAUAGCGUAUAUUAAAGUUGUUGCAGUUAAAAAGCUCGUAGUUGAAUUUCGGGGUUAGCAAGUUGGUCGUGCCUUUGGUAUGCACUGGCUUUGCUGAUUCCUCCUUCUUGAAGAACUGUGAUGCUAUUAAUUUGGUGUUGCAGGGAAACAGGACUGUUACUUUGAAAAAUUAGAGUGUUUAAAGCAGGCUAACGCUUGAAUACAUUAGCAUGGAAUAAUGAAAUAGGACGUUUGAUCCUAUUUUGUUGGUUUCUAGGAUUGACGUAAUGAUUAAUAGGGAUAGUUGGGGGCAUUAGUAUUCAAUUGUCAGAGGUGAAAUUCUUGGAUUUAUUGAAGACUAACUACUGCGAAAGCAUUUGCCAAGGAUGUUUUCAUUAAUCAAGAACGAAAGUUAGGGGAUCGAAGACGAUCAGAUACCGUCGUAGUCUUAACCAUAAACUAUGCCGACUAGGGAUCGGAUGAUGUUAAUUUUUAAUGACUCG
RNAcentral lists this ribosomal RNA (506 nucleotides) under uncultured Glomus. RNAcentral describes it as "SSU rRNA". It matches the Rfam family "Eukaryotic small subunit ribosomal RNA", at positions 569 to 1078 of the family's 1831-position model. Lineage: Eukaryota; Fungi; Glomeromycota; Glomeromycetes; Glomerales; Glomeraceae. The record is from RNAcentral.